GGAGAGAUGGCCGAGUGGUUUAAGGCGUAGCAUUGGAAGUGCUGUGUAGGCUUUUGUUUACCGAGGGUUCGAAUCCCUCUCUUUCCG
RNAcentral lists this transfer RNA (87 nucleotides) under Cyananthus flavus. Its description in RNAcentral is "tRNA-Ser". It matches the Rfam family "tRNA". Rfam says of the family: Transfer RNA (tRNA) molecules are approximately 80 nucleotides in length. Their secondary structure includes four short double-helical elements and three loops (D, anti-codon, and T loops). The record is from RNAcentral. Lineage: Eukaryota; Viridiplantae; Streptophyta; Magnoliopsida; Asterales; Campanulaceae.